UCCGGGGUCGUCUAACGGCAAGACAGCGGCCUUUGGAGCCGAGAAUCGGGGUUCGAUUCCCUGCCCCGGAG
This 71-nucleotide transfer RNA is filed under the name Acidimicrobiia bacterium. RNAcentral describes it as "tRNA-Gln". It matches the Rfam family "tRNA". From Rfam's summary of the family: Transfer RNA (tRNA) molecules are approximately 80 nucleotides in length. Lineage: Bacteria; Bacillati; Actinomycetota; Acidimicrobiia. RNAcentral also lists the same sequence under 1 other name. The record is from RNAcentral.